Molecule: ribosomal RNA, 424 nt
Filed under: uncultured bacterium
Lineage: Bacteria
Description: bacterial SSU rRNA
Rfam family: Bacterial small subunit ribosomal RNA
Source: RNAcentral
UGGGGAAUUUUGGACAAUGGGGGCAACCCUGAUCCAGCGACGCCGCGUGGAGGAUGAAGGUCUUCGGAUUGUAAACUCCUUUUCUAGGGGAAGAAUGGGUCGUUGAAGAGACGAUCGUGACGGUACCCUGGGAAUAAGCCACGGCUAACUACGUGCCAGCAGCCGCGGUAAUACGUAGGUGGCAAGCGUUACUCGGAAUUACUGGGCGUAAAGCGCGCGUAGGCGGUUGACUAAGUUUGCUGUGAAAGCCCCGGGCUUAACCUGGGAACUGCAGUGAAUACUGGUGAGCUAGAGUAUGGUAGAGGGUAGUGGAAUUUCCGGUGUAGCAGUGAAAUGCGUAGAGAUCGGAAGGAACACCAGUGGCGAAGGCGGCUAUCUGGACCAAUACUGACGCUGAGGUGCGAAAGCGUGGGGAGCAAACAGG